RNAcentral lists this ribosomal RNA (752 nucleotides) under uncultured Acinetobacter sp. RNAcentral describes it as "bacterial SSU rRNA". It matches the Rfam family "Bacterial small subunit ribosomal RNA", at positions 28 to 776 of the family's 1533-position model. The record is from RNAcentral. Lineage: Bacteria; Pseudomonadati; Pseudomonadota; Gammaproteobacteria; Moraxellales; Moraxellaceae.
AUUGAACGCCGGCGGCAGGCUUAACACUGCAAGUCGAGCGGGGAAGGGUAGCUUGCUACCUGACCAGCGGCGGACGGGUGAGUAAUGCUUAGGAAUCUGCCUAUUAGUGGGGGACAACAUUCCGAAAGGAAUGCUAAUACCGCAUACGCCCUACGGGGGAAAGCAGGGGAUCUUCGCACCUUGCGCUAAUAGAUGAGCCUAAGUCAGAUUAGCUAGUUGGUGGGGUAAAGGCCUACCAAGGCGACGAUCUGUAGCGGGUCUGAGAGGAUGAUCCGCCACACUGGGACUGAGACACGGCCCAGACUCCUACGGGAGGCAGCAGUGGGGAAUAUUGGACAAUGGGCGCAAGCCUGAUCCAGCCAUGCCGCGUGUGUGAAGAAGGCCUUUUGGUUGCAAAGCACUUUAAGCGAGGAGGAGGCUACUUGGAUUAAUACUCUAGGAUAGUGGACGUUACUCGCAGAAUAAGCACCGGCUAACUCUGUGCCAGCAGCCGCGGUAAUACAGAGGGUGCGAGCGUUAAUCGGAUUUACUGGGCGUAAAGCGUGCGUAGGCGGCUUUUUAAGUCGGAUGUGAAAUCCCUGAGCUUAACUUAGGAAUUGCAUUCGAUACUGGGAAGCUAGAGUAUGGGAGAGGAUGGUAGAAUUCCAGGUGUAGCGGUGAAAUGCGUAGAGAUCUGGAGGAAUACCGAUGGCGAAGGCAGCCAUCUGGCCUAAUACUGACGCUGAGGUACGAAAGCAUGGGGAGCAAACAGG